RNAcentral lists this ribosomal RNA (492 nucleotides) under uncultured bacterium. RNAcentral's name for it is "partial 16S ribosomal RNA". It matches the Rfam family "Bacterial small subunit ribosomal RNA", at positions 29 to 507 of the family's 1533-position model. The record is from RNAcentral.
AGUGAACGCUGGCGGUAGGCCUAACACAUGCAAGUCGAACGGCAGCACAGUAAGAGCUUGCUCUUACGGGUGGCGAGUGGCGGACGGGUGAGGAAUACAUCGGCAUCUACUUUUUCGUGGGGGAUAACGUAGGGAAACUUACGCUAAUACCGCAUACGACCUACGGGUGAAAGCAGGGGAUCUUCGGACCUUUCGCGAUUGAAUGAGCCGAUGUCGGAUUAGCUAGUUGGCGGGGUAAAGGCACACCAAGGCGACGAUCCGUAGCUGGUCUGAGAGGAUGAUCAGCCACACUGGAACUGAGACACGGUCCAGACUCCUACGGGAGGCAGCAGUGGGGAAUAUUGGACAAUGGGCGCAAGCCUGAUCCAGCCAUACCGCGUGGGUGAAGAAGGCCUUCGGGUUGUAAAGCUCUGUUGUUGGGAAAGAAAAGCAGUAGGUUAAUACCCCGAUGUUCUGACGGUACCCAAAGAAUAAGCACCGGCUAACUUCGUG